Molecule: long non-coding RNA, 860 nt
Organism: Microplitis demolitor
Lineage: Eukaryota; Metazoa; Arthropoda; Insecta; Hymenoptera; Braconidae
Exons: 5
Source: RefSeq, a predicted model, not a curated record
AAUGAAGGAAAAAAAAAAACACCAUAAGCAUAGUCAGACUGAAGUUGUAAUUGAAAAGCUCGGAAAACUUGAAAAUCAAAUGAAUGAUUUACAACAGCAAUGUAAUCAUUUAUCACAAAUGGUACAACAGAUCUUAGAUUAUUGGAAUGAGCACCGAGAUACCCCUUCAAAUAUGGAAUCAUUGCAACUCGAAAGGAAAACGGGAUUCCCUUUGUCUGGUUUUAAUCGAAUAUCUGAUGAUACUAUUCAUCUUGGACAAGGCAUUUUUAUUCCCAAAAAAUAUUAUGAUGCGGUUGCUGUCAGGGCAAAAUCGGGUUCACAGUUCGUUCGGAAUAUACUCAUAAUUCUAUUUACCGAAGAAGAAUUAAAAAAUAGUAAUUUAUACGGUGAAAAAUCUAAUAAAGUUAAAGUAGAAGAACAAAAACCUGCAUUGGAUGCUACAAAACUGCAAGCAAUUAAAGAUAUCUAUUCAUACUAUCUUAAACAAGGCUGAGUAAAAGAAGAAAGUAUAUCUGAUGAAAUAAGAAAGGUUGAUUGCUACAUUAGAAGUAAGAUUGGGGACUUACGCCGAGAAGCUCGAAGAUCUGAAAAGAAAAGUAUGGAACCGGUCAAAGUACCACCCGAAAAUACAAAAAAAUUUGCAAUUUGUAAAACAUCAGUUACAAAUAAUGAUAGUGAAGAUACAGAGAUAUCAAGUGCUGAACAGAGUAGCGAUAGCUCAGAAAAUUCUGACGAAGAAGAGGUUCAUAAAACUGUAAACUUAGAAAAUAUUACAGAAGAUACUCCUAAAGAUACAAGUGAAAAAAUUGAUGAAGAGGAAAGUGAUGAUGAUGAUGAUGAUGACAAAAAUACAGAGCUUG